Molecule: ribosomal RNA, 465 nt
Filed under: uncultured bacterium
Lineage: Bacteria
Description: partial 16S ribosomal RNA
Rfam family: Bacterial small subunit ribosomal RNA
Source: RNAcentral
GACGAACGCUGGCGGCGUGCUUAACACAUGCAAGUCAAACGGAAAGGCCCCUUUUGGGGUACUCGAGUGGCGAACGGGGGAGUAACACGUGUGUAACCUGCCCUUGACUUCGGGGUAACUUCAGGAAACUGGGGCUAAUACCGGAUAGGAAUCCUUGCUGCAUGGUGGGGGUUGUAAAGCUUCGGCGGUUUUGGAUGGACUCGCGGCGUAUCAGCUUGUUGGUGGGGUAGUGGCUUACCAAGGCUUUGACGGGUAGCCGGACUGAGAGGGUGAGCGGCCAUAUUGGGACUGAGAGACGGCCCAGACGCCUACGGGAGGCAGCAGUGGGGAAUAUUGCACAAUGGGCGGAAGCCUGAUGCAGCAGCGCCGCGUGCGGGAUGACGGCCUUCGGGUUGUAAACCGCUUGCAGCAGGGGCGAAGCUUGUGGUGACGGUACCUGCAGAAGAAGCACCGGCUAACUACGUG